Molecule: ribosomal RNA, 119 nt
Filed under: Nicotiana sylvestris (wood tobacco)
Lineage: Eukaryota; Viridiplantae; Streptophyta; Magnoliopsida; Solanales; Solanaceae
Also listed under: 1 other name
Source: RNAcentral
GGAUGCGAUCAUACCAGCUCUAACGCACCGGAUCCCAUCAGAACUCCGAAGUUAUGCGUGCCUGGGCGAGAGUAGUACUAGGAUGGGUGACCCCCUGGGAAGUCCUCGUGUUGCAUCUC